RNAcentral lists this small RNA (608 nucleotides) under Histoplasma capsulatum. RNAcentral describes it as "hypothetical RNA". RNAcentral also lists the same sequence under 1 other name. Lineage: Eukaryota; Fungi; Ascomycota; Eurotiomycetes; Onygenales; Ajellomycetaceae. The record is from RNAcentral.
UUUCACGCCGUCCAACCCCAGCACUCCGCUCUCGCAGUCGCGUUCGUGAGACUAACCGUUCCUCCAGCGAGCUAAUGGGGCGAUAGGCUCUCGGAAACAAGAGAUAGUAAAGAGGGUGGUGGAAACAUCCGGCUUUGCCUCAUUUUAUAGAUGUGACAUUGUGGUCUUCCUUUUGUUGGGCAGACGGGACAAUGGAAGAGGACGGUAGUAUCCAAUACCGAUGCAUGGAAAUUUCCUGAAUACAAGUCAGUAAAUGGCUAACUUUACAUAUUAUAUGAGAAUAUUUCAACGAGAUUUUAUUGUUUUUUUGUUUGAGGCAACGGUACGACCACAUAUACUUCUAAGGUGACUUUACGUCCUGCUCCCGCAAGGAUUUCUCCCGAUUUCGGCGUUUUACAUCCUUUUGAAUGUCCUAGGAAUGUCGUUUCUUGUAAAGAUGAAGUUGGCCACUUUAAUCUUUGUUCUCCAAGCUUUGUAUGUAACAAGUCACCUCUGUUUGUCUCUUUGCUUUGCCAGUCGGAAUGAUAAUACAUGCCCAGCAAACGUCAACAUCGUGAGCCCUAUUACACUUAAACCGUGCUUUACCAUGGAAGGAAAGAUAAGGCGAU